GAUGAACGCUAGCUACAGGCUUAACACAUGCAAGUCGAGGGGUAGCAGGGUAGCAAUACCGCUGACGACCGGCGCACGGGUGAGUAACACGUAUCCAACCUUCCCAUAACUCGGGGAUAGCCUUUCGAAAGAAAGAUUAAUACCCGAUAGUACUUAACAAAGGCAUCUUUGAUAAGUUAAAGAUUUAUUGGUUAUGGAUGGGGAUGCGUUCCAUUAGAUAGUUGGUGAGGUAACGGCCCACCAAGUCUUCGAUGGAUAGGGGUUCUGAGAGGAAGGUCCCCCACAUUGGUACUGAGACACGGACCAAACUCCUACGGGAGGCAGCAGUGAGGAAUAUUGGUCAAUGGGCGAGAGCCUGAACCAGCCAAGUAGCGUGAAGGAUGAAGGUCCUAUGGAUUGUAAACUUCUUUUAUAGUAGAAUAAAGUGAUCCACGUGUGGAUUUUUGUAUGUAUACUAUGAAUAAGGAUCGGCUAACUCCGUGCCAGCAGCCGCCGUAA
Molecule: ribosomal RNA, 498 nt
Filed under: uncultured bacterium
Lineage: Bacteria
Description: partial 16S ribosomal RNA
Rfam family: Bacterial small subunit ribosomal RNA
Source: RNAcentral